Apis laboriosa (Himalayan honeybee) is the source of this 313-nucleotide long non-coding RNA. RefSeq lists it as uncharacterized. The transcript is spliced from 2 exons. The record is from RefSeq and is a predicted model, not a curated record. Lineage: Eukaryota; Metazoa; Arthropoda; Insecta; Hymenoptera; Apidae.
AUCGAGACGAGAGCUGUCAAUAUCAACUGUUUUAUAUCAGAGGGAGGGAUGUCUCUUAUCCAUUUGGUGCAUUGUGUACUCUUCUCAAACCUACCGCGCUGCUUUUUUUAGUGAUCCUUUGCUCAGAAUGAAAUAAAAUUGGCAGGUCGUAUUGCUAUCAAAUGGAUGAACGCGCCCAUUCACGAUGGUUCUCAUUGGUGACAACCUGUUGCUGCAAUGGCGUAAUCAAAAUUUUGUGGAUAUAAUUUGUAAUCUAUAUCUGUGUCUAGUAUUUAAUAGAUAUGUAUUCUGAUAAAAUUUUCUUUUCUAAUGA